RNAcentral lists this ribosomal RNA (467 nucleotides) under uncultured bacterium. RNAcentral's name for it is "partial 16S ribosomal RNA". It matches the Rfam family "Bacterial small subunit ribosomal RNA", at positions 28 to 506 of the family's 1533-position model. The record is from RNAcentral.
GACGAACGCUGGCGGCGUGCUUAACACAUGCCAGUCGAACGGAAAGGCCCUGCUUUUGUGGGGUGCUCGAGUGGCGAACGGGUGAGUAACACGUGAGUAACCUGCCCUUGACUUUGGGAUAACUCCCGGAAACUGGGGCUAAUACCGGAUAGCAGCUCCUGCUGCAUGGUGGGGGUUGGAAAGUUUCGGCGGUUGGGGAUGGACUCGCGGCUUAUCAGCUUGUUGGUGGGGUAGUGGCUUACCAAGGCUUUGACGGGUAGCCGGCCUGAGAGGGUGACCGGCCACAUGGGGACUGAGAUACGGCCCAGACUCCUACGGGAGGCAGCAGUAGGGAAUAUUGCACAAUGGGCGGAAGCCUGAUGCAGCAACGCCGCGUGCGGGAUGACGGCCUUCGGGUUGUAAACCGCUUUAGCCUGUGACGAAGCGUGAGUGACGGAAAUGGGUAAAGAAGCACCGGCUAACUACGU